CCUACGGGAGGCAGCAGUGAGGAAUAUUGGUCAAUGGCCGGAAGGCUGAACCAGCCAUGCCGCGUGAAGGUCAGUGCCCUAUGGGCGGUAAACUUCUUUUGUGCGGGAGCAAUAAUGGUAACGUGUGGCCAGACGAGAGUAACGUACGCAUAAGCAUCGGCUAACUCCGUGCAAGCAGCCGCGGGAAUACGAGUGAUGCGAUCGUAAUCCGGAUUUAUUGGGGGUAAAGGGAGCGUAGACGGCAGUGCAAGUCUGGAGUGAAAGGCGCGGGCUCAAACCCCGGACUGCUCUGGAGACUGUACGGCUGGAGUGAAAGAGAGGUAAGUGGAAUUCCAAGUGUAGCGGUGAAAUGCGUAGAUAUUAGGAGGAACACCAGUGGCGAAGGCGGCUUACUGGACUGUAACUGACGUUGAGGCUCGAAAGCGUGGGGAGCAAACAGGAUUAGAUACCCCAGUAGUC
RNAcentral lists this ribosomal RNA (459 nucleotides) under uncultured bacterium. RNAcentral describes it as "partial 16S ribosomal RNA". It matches the Rfam family "Bacterial small subunit ribosomal RNA", at positions 338 to 795 of the family's 1533-position model. The record is from RNAcentral.